AUUGAACGCUGACGGCAUGCUUUACACAUGCAAGUCGAACGGUAACAGGCCGCAAGGUGCUGACGAGUGGCGAACGGGUGAGUAAUGCAUCGGAACGUGCCCAGUCGUGGGGGAUAACUACUCGAAAGAGUAGCUAAUACCGCAUACGAUCUAUGGAUGAAAGCGGGGGACCGUAAGGCCUCGCGCGAUUGGAGCGGCCGAUGUCAGAUUAGGUAGUUGGUGGGGUAAAGGCUCACCAAGCCAACGAUCUGUAGCUGGUCUGAGAGGACGACCAGCCACACUGGGACUGAGACACGGCCCAGACUCCUACGGGAGGCAGCAGUGGGGAAUUUUGGACAAUGGGCGCAAGCCUGAUCCAGCAAUGCCGCGUGCAGGAAGAAGGCCUUCGGGUUGUAAACUGCUUUUGUACGGAACGAAACGGCUCUGGUUAAUACCCGGGGCUAAUGACGGUACCGUAAGAAUAAGCACCGGCUAACUACGUG
This 482-nucleotide ribosomal RNA is filed under the name uncultured bacterium. RNAcentral describes it as "partial 16S ribosomal RNA". It matches the Rfam family "Bacterial small subunit ribosomal RNA", at positions 30 to 507 of the family's 1533-position model. The record is from RNAcentral.